GAAGCUGGUGCCAAGCAAAUUGCAGGCUAAAAGGGGUCUGGAUUGUGUGGGGCAAUGCUUUAAUCUUUUGUCCCCAUUUCCUGCAGCUGAGCAACGCCAUUAACCUGAAGGAGAUCGCUGGGAAGACAGAGGGGUACUCGGGCAGCGAUUUGAAGGAGCUGUGUCGCGAUGCAGCCAUGUACCGUGUGCGGGAUUACGUGCGCAAGCAGCAGAUGAAGCAGAUCACACAGCAGCUGCAGGACAGCGACGGCGAGGACAGGCCUGUGGAUGAAGACAGGCUGCGGCCAGUGACCCAGCUGGAUCUGCUCUUCGGCUUGGAGAAGAUGAAGGAAUCCAAGGCAGCUGCCUCCUAUCAUAUGAGCCUGAGAGAUGUCCCUCUGGACUAGUCCCAUCCAGGCACAGGGAGAACACCAGAGCACAAAUGAGCCACAGACACUUUCAUUUAAAAAAAAAAAAAAAAAAAUGUAGCUCUUACAAAGGACUCAGGAGUCUAGGAGAUUAACUGUGGAGGGUAUUUGUGCUCUGGGAUGGCAAUGAGACUCCCAUUGCACAGCAGUUUGAUCCAUUCCUGGUUUUACUGUGAGUUUAAUAAUAAGACACACCUGAGCUUGCUACCUAUACACUGGAGCUAAUCCAGCACAUGUUAAAACCUGGAACGGGUGUAACUGCUAUGCAGUAGGAGUCUUAAUUCCAACCCUGCUGUUAAUUGGAACCGAAAAACUGUUUUGAAUAUUUUUUUAAAAUUAUGUUUUGGAUACGUUUUGUAUUUGUUUGCUGUUCCACAAGUUACACUAACUCUUCGCUCAGUGUAGCGGUCAUCCACUGGUUGGAUAACGACCGUUCUGUUCAGAAAACUGUUUGGCAAUGCAGGGAUGACAAUAAGACUCCCAUUGCACAGCAGUUCAAGACAUUCCCAGUUUUACUAUGAGUUUAAUAAUAAGACAGACCUGAGCUUGUUAGCGGUACCCUGUGGGUAAUCAAGGUCUUAGGAAAACCUGGAACGGGUUCAAACUGCUAUGCAACAGGAAUUGUAUUUCUACCCCUGCAAUGUUAAAAGAGCAACCUGAUAUGAAUAUGAAAUAUCAUCAGUUAUUUAUUUUAGAUAUUUCACACCUGUUACAUUUUGUCUUGAAUCUCACAUUCACAGCCAAGUACUGUAGGGUAGAACACGUGUGUGUGUGUGUGUUUGACCAAGUAAAAAAAAAGUCGUCCUCAUGUGUUUGACAUUUUAUUUAUUGUCCCAUCCUGUCCUGGUAAUGCACUGUUACCAUAGCAAUGCUAUCCCUGAAAGAAUAAAUGGAAAGGAACCCC
Long non-coding RNA from Polyodon spathula (Mississippi paddlefish), 1311 nucleotides. RefSeq lists it as uncharacterized. The record is from RefSeq and is a predicted model, not a curated record. NCBI's taxonomy places the organism in Eukaryota, Metazoa, Chordata, Actinopteri, Acipenseriformes, Polyodontidae. The transcript is spliced from 2 exons.